GAUCAUGGCUCAGGAUGAACGCUAGCUACAGGCUUAACACAUGCAAGUCGAGGGGCAGCAUGGACCCAGCUUUGCUGGGUUUGAUGGCGACCGGCGCACGGGUGAGUAACGCGUAUCCAACCUGCCCUUUACUCCGGGAUAGUCUCCUGAAAGGGAGUUUAAUACCGGAUGUGUUUGUCUUUCCGCAUGGGAGGCGACAAAUAAAGAUUAAUUGGUAAAGGGAAUGGGGAGUGCGUCCCAUUAGCUUGUUGGG
RNAcentral lists this ribosomal RNA (253 nucleotides) under uncultured bacterium. Its description in RNAcentral is "partial 16S ribosomal RNA". It matches the Rfam family "Bacterial small subunit ribosomal RNA", at positions 15 to 253 of the family's 1533-position model. The record is from RNAcentral.